Molecule: ribosomal RNA, 430 nt
Filed under: Bacillus sp. (in: firmicutes)
Lineage: Bacteria; Bacillati; Bacillota; Bacilli; Caryophanales; Bacillaceae
Description: bacterial SSU rRNA
Rfam family: Bacterial small subunit ribosomal RNA
Source: RNAcentral
UCUGACGGAGCAACGCCGCGUGAGUGAUGAAGGCUUUCGGGUCGUAAAACUCUGUUGUUAGGGAAGAACAAGUACGAGAGUAACUGCUCGUACCUUGACGGUACCUAACCAGAAAGCCACGGCUAACUACGUGCCAGCAGCCGCGGUAAUACGUAGGUGGCAAGCGUUAUCCGGAAUUAUUGGGCGUAAAGCGCGCGCAGGCGGUUUCUUAAGUCUGAUGUGAAAGCCCACGGCUCAACCGUGGAGGGUCAUUGGAAACUGGGGAACUUGAGUGCAGAAGAGAAAAGCGGAAUUCCACGUGUAGCGGUGAAAUGCGUAGAGAUGUGGAGGAACACCAGUGGCGAAGGCGGCUUUUUGGUCUGUAACUGACGCUGAGGCGCGAAAGCGUGGGGAGCAAACAGGAUUAGAUACCCUGGUAGUCCACGCCGUA